CCUUUUUGCUUUGCGUGCGCGAUUUUCGAUCACCGUACUCGAGUGCCGGAUAGAAACUGGAGCUGUUCCGUGGGACGGACGUCCUUCUGAGUCUUCGUUUCUUGGGUUUCCUCGUAUCCUGGUCAGGCCAGUACUUAUAAGCGACCCCUUUUUCUUCGGGGUGAUUUGUUGCGUCAUCGCAUAUAUUAUUAUGAAAUUGAGAAAUUGUCC
RNAcentral lists this long non-coding RNA (210 nucleotides) under Eucalyptus grandis. RNAcentral describes it as "long non-coding RNA (EGRA_LNC007281)". The record is from RNAcentral. Lineage: Eukaryota; Viridiplantae; Streptophyta; Magnoliopsida; Myrtales; Myrtaceae.